RNAcentral lists this ribosomal RNA (502 nucleotides) under uncultured bacterium. Its description in RNAcentral is "partial 16S ribosomal RNA". It matches the Rfam family "Bacterial small subunit ribosomal RNA", at positions 28 to 507 of the family's 1533-position model. The record is from RNAcentral.
GACGAACGCUGGCGGCGUGCUUAACACAUGCAAGUCGAACGGUGAAGGGGUCUGCUUUUGUGGGCCCUGGAUGAGUGGCGAACGGGUGAGUAACACGUGAGUAACCUGCCCCCUUCUUCUGGAUAACCGCAUGAAAGUGUGGCUAAUACGGGAUAUUCUGGGUCUGUCGCAUGAUGGGUCUGGGAAAGAUUGCGCCUUUGGGUGUUUUUGGUGGGGGAUGGGCUCGCGGCCUAUCAGCUUGUUGGUGGGGUGAUGGCCUACCAAGGCGGUGACGGGUAGCCGGCCUGAGAGGGUGGACGGUCACAAUGGGACUGAGACACGGCCCAGACUCCUACGGGAGGCAGCAGUGGGGAAUAUUGCACAAUGGGCGCAAGCCUGAUGCAGCGACGCCGCGUGAGGGAUGGAGGCCUUCGGGUUGUAAACCUCUUUCGCCAGUGAAGCAGGCCUGCUCCUUGUGGGUGGGUUGACGGUAGCUGGAUAAGAAGCGCCGGCUAACUACGUG